This 371-nucleotide ribosomal RNA is filed under the name uncultured Glomeromycotina. Its description in RNAcentral is "eukaryotic LSU rRNA". Lineage: Eukaryota; Fungi; Glomeromycota. The record is from RNAcentral.
UUGAAAGGGAAACGAUUGAAGUCAGUCGUACCGACGAGAAAUCAGCUUAUCGUGUGUUAACUUGUGGGCGUGCGUGAGUUUCGGCCUCGCUGUUUGCAAGUUUGUGCGCUUUGGGUGUACUUUUUCGUAUGGUUGGCCAACAUCAGUUUCGAUUACUAUAAAAUGACUGGCGGAAUGUAGCUUCGAUUUCGGUUGAAGUGUUAUAGCCUCUGGUAGAUGUGGUAAUUGGGACUGAGGAUUGCAACGAAUAUCCUUUGGGCUAUCCGUCUGGCCUCUGAAAGUUGCUUGGGUGCUGAAAGCUUGCUUAUGGUUAUCUAAGUUAACGGUCAAUAGGUUAGAACGUGAUUACAUUCGUUAAGGAUGUUGACGUA